This is a non-coding RNA of Parelaphostrongylus tenuis, 73 nucleotides long. The record is from the annotation of a GenBank genome assembly. NCBI's taxonomy places the organism in Eukaryota, Metazoa, Nematoda, Chromadorea, Rhabditida, Metastrongylidae.
GCCUCUGUAGUGCAAUGGUUCAGCACGCGCUCACGGUAAGAGUGAGAUUUGGGUUCGAAUCCCAGCUGACGCA